RNAcentral lists this ribosomal RNA (848 nucleotides) under Clostridioides difficile. Its description in RNAcentral is "partial 23S ribosomal RNA". It matches the Rfam family "Bacterial large subunit ribosomal RNA", at positions 683 to 1536 of the family's 2925-position model. The record is from RNAcentral. Lineage: Bacteria; Bacillati; Bacillota; Clostridia; Peptostreptococcales; Peptostreptococcaceae.
UUUAACUGAGCGUUCAGUUACUUGACGUAGACCCGAAACCGGGCGACCUACCCAUGAGCAGGAUGAAGCGAAAGUAAAAUUUCGUGGAGGUCCGAACCCACGAGCGUUGAAAAGCUCGGGGAUGACUUGUGGGUAGCGGUGAAAUUCCAAUCGAGCCCGGAGAUAGCUGGUUCUCCCCGAAAUAGCUUUAGGGCUAGCCUCAAGGUGAGAGAUACGGAGGUAGAGCACUGAAUGUCCUAGGGGGUAUUGCACCUACCGAAGACUAUCAAACUCCGAAUGCCGUCAUCUUAUACUUGGGAGUCAGACUGUGGGUGAUAAGAUUCAUAGUCGAAAGGGCAACAGCCCAGAUCGUCAGCUAAGGUCCCUAAAUGUAAGUUAAGUGGUAAAGGAUGUGGGAUUGCACAGACAACCAGGAUGUUGGCUUAGAAGCAGCCACUCAUUCAAAGAGUGCGUAAUAGCUCACUGGUCGAGUGAUCCUGCGCCGAAGAUUUCCGGGGCUAAAACUUACUACCGAAGCUACGGCAUCAGUAAUGAUGGGUAGGGGAGCUUCCCAUACGGGUUGAAGCAUGACCGUAAGGACAUGUGGACAGUAUGGGAGUGAGAAUGUUGGCAUGAGUAGCGAGAUGUGGGUGAGAAUCCCACAGGCCGUAAACCCAAGGUUUCCAGGGGAAGGUUCGUCCGCCCUGGGUUAGUCGGGACCUAAGCUGAGGCCGAAAGGCGUAGGUGAUGGACAACAGGUUGAUAUUCCUGUACUACCGAUAACCGUUUGAGAGAAGGGAUGACACAGUAGGAUAAGCUAAGCACACUGUUGGUUAUGUGUGCCCAAGCAUUGAGGCAGUCAAAGUAGG